This 30-nucleotide non-coding RNA is filed under the name Mus musculus (house mouse). The record is from RNAcentral. Lineage: Eukaryota; Metazoa; Chordata; Mammalia; Rodentia; Muridae.
UAAAAAAGCCUCUGGCCUUGUUCUGCCUAG